GCUAACUCGGGAAAAGGUAAAACAGUUGGAGGUGCAGCCAGUGAUAGCUUCUGGCUCAGCCCGGUUCGCUGGUCAGGAGGUGGGACAACGAGGGCCUUAGCUGUUUGCUAUGCAACGGAACCAGGGCUGCACACCACAGCUUUGAGAAUAAUUUGCUCCACCGCUAUUGUGCGGUCUUUGAACGUCGUGGCUGAUGCAUUGUGGUUCAACACGGAUCACAUUACUUUGGAGGCUCACGAUAAAGACUACGAUAUACGUAGUGAAGAUGAUGAAGCAUGCGAGUAUUAUGUACAUCUCGGUACAGCUUUUCCAAGCCGAUCGUUAUCUGCUACAGUGGAAGUUUUGAAUCACAGUCCAGUAACGUAUCCCUAUUACUGGAGUGUAAGACCCUGGGGAGUUUGUUCCUGUUGGACCACAUCUCAAACCUCACUGUUCGGAGAAGAUGACUUAUGUGAUGAGGCGAAGUUCAA
Molecule: long non-coding RNA, 470 nt
Organism: Pieris rapae (cabbage white)
Lineage: Eukaryota; Metazoa; Arthropoda; Insecta; Lepidoptera; Pieridae
Exons: 3
Source: RefSeq, a predicted model, not a curated record